This 503-nucleotide ribosomal RNA is filed under the name uncultured bacterium. Its description in RNAcentral is "bacterial SSU rRNA". It matches the Rfam family "Bacterial small subunit ribosomal RNA", at positions 24 to 518 of the family's 1533-position model. The record is from RNAcentral.
UCAGGAUGAACGCUAGCGACAGGCUUAACACAUGCAAGUCGAGGGGCAGCACGGGAGUAGCAAUACAACUGGUGGCGACCGGCGCACGGGUGAGUAACGCGUAUGCAACCUACCUAUCAGAGGGGAAUAACCCGGCGAAAGUCGGACUAAUACCGCAUAAAACAGGGGCACCGCAUGGUGAUAUUUGUUAAAGAAAUUCGCUGAUAGAUGGGCAUGCGUUCCAUUAGGUAGUUGGUGAGGUAACGGCUCACCAAGCCGACGAUGGAUAGGGGAACUGAGAGGUUGGUCCCCCACACUGGUACUGAGACACGGACCAGACUCCUACGGGAGGCAGCAGUGAGGAAUAUUGGUCAAUGGGCGAGAGCCUGAACCAGCCAAGUCGCGUGAAGGAAGAAGGAUCUAUGGUUCGUAAACUUCUUUUGCAGGGGAAUAAAGUGCGGGACGUGUCCUGUUUUGUAUGUACCCUGAGAAUAAGGAUCGGCUAACUCCGUGCCAGCCGCAGC